GCAUUUAAUACAUUUAACACAUUCAUAGCGUUCCACAACCACCACAUCAAUGUAGUUCCAAAAUAUUUUGAUCACCCCAAAAGAACCCCCCUGCUUAUUAAGGAUUCACUCCUCAUUUCUCUCCCCCUGGGCCCUGGCAACCACCAAUCUGAUCAGGUGGGUACAGCAGGGCACCAGGAGGUAUAUAACGAAGGACUGGUACAUGCUACAACGUGGAUGAAUCUUAAAAACAUCAUGCAAUUUCACACGCACGACGUCAUUCAAUACGUGACCUUUUGUGUCUGGUUUCUAUAACUUGGCACAAUUUUUCCUUGGAGGUUCAUCCACACUGUAGAAGUACCUGAAUGUUUUUUGUAGCUUGGGUUCCGUUGUCCUGAGACAUCACAUUUUGUUUCUCCAUUUCUCUGUAGACGGACAAAUGGGCUGUUCCCACCUCUUGGCUGUUGUGAUAACGCUGCUGUGGGUUCAUCAACAGCGCAUUCAUAUUCGAGCGCCUGCUCUCAAUCCUCUUGGAUAUAUCCCCAGGAGUAGAACUGUGGGGUCAUUAUUGCGUUUGAAUUAGGACUGUCUUCCUCGACACAGGUUGAUACAAUCACCUCCUGUGGCUCCUAAGGUUCCUGUCGUCAUUUCACGCUUGUCCAGUUCUCCUGCCUGGUCUGCUGGGUGUGCUCCAUGGAUCCAGCUGCCCGUGGACUGAAGGUGCACGCCUUGAGCGGCGCUGAAUUCUGUUUGACCUUGGCCCUCGCACACUGCUCUGGUUUUGUGGUUUGGUCUUUGGGGAGUGAAUAAAGUCAGCAGCUGAAAUGGAAAGAGGAAAUAAGACAGGAAGAUUGCUCCUCACGGUGGAGGGGCGGAGGCUGGGUGAACCUGUCAUUCUUUCCCUGCCAUUGGAAUUGGAACCAGCAGAGUAAGUUAUGGCUGAGAACAGUGACCGACAGCAGCCCAGGGAGCAGGGAGGGAAGGCACUUGAACUUGCUGAGGCAGCAGACGUUUGUUCCGCAGCGCGGUCAAAGUGGACUUGCCAGCUAGCCAAGGAGCCCCGGUGAUUCCUGUCUUCCCUGCUCGCCCCCAGGUUUGGAGUUGUGUGUCCUGCUCCCAAAAGCCGACCACGUCCUUGUCAGAAGCGUCUGGGUUACGCCCCCCAGCCCUGAAGUUGUGGCAGAAGCAGCCAUCUCCUGGAUGGAUGUGGCAAAUGACAGGCUCAGAGGACCCAGGCGAUUGUCCUGGGAGUGAAGGAAGAUGGGAAAUCGAGAAGGAGGCGGGGGACUGCAUUCUCACACCCUGUCACCUGGGGAGGGAACCAAGGUCUCUUGUGGGUCAGCUUCCUAUUUAGCUGUCAGGGUGUAGAAUAGAAGCCUCUCUGUCACUUCUGGUGUCACCCCUUCCUCUUUCACACCCAGACCUCGCAGUCUGAUGUGGCUUUCCUCCAGUCCAGGUAGGUCCCACUCGCUAAAGCCAGGUGGCCCAGGCUCCCAGAGCUGAUGGGGGAUGUGUGUGACCAUGCACAGCGCUCUGGCCAUGUGACUUAGGUCACAGCCAGAAAGGACAUCAAUGCUCCCGGAACAGUCAGGCCCCCCGACUGUCCCAGUAGGUCUCUGUGGAGGAAGGAGCCGUCAACCUGCUCUCUUGCAGCUGGGACCGGUCCCCCCAGAGAAGAAGCCAGAGGAGUCUCCCCGGGGCCCCUGGGGGCAGCAGAGCUCCUAAGCUUCUUGCCGACACCUAGAGAGUCAUCGUGCCAGGUGUGCUUCCUUUGUUUUCUCUCCUCACUUUGUGUUCUUCCCGUGGGCUCCUCCUGCUCAUGGUAGAAGACAGCAUUGUCCCUACUUUGUGAUCAUGGCAACUCUUUCCUCUGAGAGCGCCCCUUCCCUCCUGCCCUGCCUCGGAGUUUAAGUGGGGAUACGGUGACUGGGUUUGUGGGUGUCGCUCAAGCAUCUUGUGGCUGAGUUUGAGCCACUGCCCUCUGAUUUUCCCAUCGUGCACGGUGGUGGCCCCUGCUGGGUGUCCGGCCAGCAGAGCUGGUCGUUGGCACAGCUGGCAGCCCUUGAAACCCCAAGUCCCCCAGGCUCCGGCUGCGAUCCCUCGCACCUUAGAGACAGAGCCACAUCUGGAAACAAAAGCUGCUGCUGU
Marmota monax (woodchuck) is the source of this 2127-nucleotide long non-coding RNA. RefSeq lists it as uncharacterized. The transcript is spliced from 3 exons. NCBI's taxonomy places the organism in Eukaryota, Metazoa, Chordata, Mammalia, Rodentia, Sciuridae. The record is from RefSeq and is a predicted model, not a curated record.